RNAcentral lists this transfer RNA (114 nucleotides) under Aspergillus carlsbadensis. RNAcentral describes it as "tRNA-Leu". It matches the Rfam family "tRNA". Rfam says of the family: Transfer RNA (tRNA) molecules are approximately 80 nucleotides in length. Their secondary structure includes four short double-helical elements and three loops (D, anti-codon, and T loops). The record is from RNAcentral. Lineage: Eukaryota; Fungi; Ascomycota; Eurotiomycetes; Eurotiales; Aspergillaceae.
GGCAAGAUGGCCGAGUGGUUAAGGCGUGCGGUUCAGGCGAUUAACCCGAAUCUCAUUACUCAGCAGAGUUUCCGCAUCUCGAAAGGGGCGUGGGUUCGAAUCCCACUCUUGUCA